CUUGGCAACAGCGAGUAAAGUCGUGGCUUGUGUUUCAGAUGCGAGAAAGUGGGCCCUGGUCUAUAAACUGGACGAGGAUGAAGAUGAAAUCUCUGAUUCAGAAUGACCGUCUGUUCAAGAAUUUGCGGUGGUUAUGCUCGUGUUGCUUCCGUGGGAGGACCUCUAAUACUCGAAGUUGCAGACAUGAAUGUGAGAAGCAAUGCAUGUGGGGGCUUUCUGACUGAAGCUCUUCGACCCACCCUUCUUGGAAAGUCUUAAUCUAUACCUGCCAUGUGCCUUUUCUGCUAGGCGGGCAUUUGUCGAAGAGAAAGAUGGAGUAAAAGGAUAUCUCAAGCAAUGCUCCAUACUUGUAUGACAAUCUGGUCAAGAGGGAUGGAGUUACGAAUUGGAGAAAGCGCAGAGACUAGGAGUGUAGGGGGAGCUGCAUCCAAGUAAAUGUAUCACAUCAUUAUGCUGGUGCGUCCUGAUGGCAAGAUUGUUGUCUUGGGCCUUGAAGAUGAUGCAGUUUCACUGCAUGAUGUAGAAGUAAGUUUUCCAUGCUAUUGCUGUAAUGUUACCCUCAUUACUUCUCAACAAGAAAUUCCUCCUGCAAGAAUCCUUUAUCAUCAGAAUGUGUUCUCCUCUGAUCUCCCUUGUGGAAUAUUCUGAAUUGCUCAAAAGCUGCAUGAUGCAAUGCAAACAGCAAGCUUGCUGAAUGAACAUUAAGUUAAGAUGUUUCUGAAAUCCUUAAAGUCUAGCCAACUGGUUUGAUAUAACGGCUGAUGAAUCGGACG
This is a long non-coding RNA of Rhodamnia argentea, 773 nucleotides long. RefSeq lists it as uncharacterized. The record is from RefSeq and is a predicted model, not a curated record. The transcript has 3 exons. Lineage: Eukaryota; Viridiplantae; Streptophyta; Magnoliopsida; Myrtales; Myrtaceae.